This 761-nucleotide ribosomal RNA is filed under the name uncultured bacterium. RNAcentral describes it as "bacterial SSU rRNA". It matches the Rfam family "Bacterial small subunit ribosomal RNA", at positions 28 to 794 of the family's 1533-position model. The record is from RNAcentral.
GACGAACGCUGGCGGCGUGCUUAACACAUGCAAGUCGAGGGCGGUGGCUCCUUCGGGGGCCACCGACCGGCGAACGGGUGCGUAACACGUGAGCAACCCGCCGGGCAGCGGGGGAUAGCCGGCCCAACGGCCGGGUAAUACCGCAUACGCUUGCUCCGGGACAUCCCGGGGCAAGGAAAACUCCGGUGCUGCCCGAGGGGCUCGCGGCCUAUCAGCUGGUUGGCGGGGUAACGGCCCACCAAGGCGACGACGGGUAGCUGGUCUGAGAGGAUGGCCAGCCACAUUGGGACUGAGAGACGGCCCAGACUCCUACGGGAGGCAGCAGUGGGGAAUCUUGCGCAAUGGCCGCAAGGCUGACGCAGCGACGCCGCGUGGAGGACGACGCCUCGGGGUGUAAGCUCCUGUUGCCCGGGACGAAAAUCCGCCUUCGAGCGGGCUGACGGUACCGGGUGAGAAGCACCGGCUAACUCCGUGCCAGCAGCCGCGGUAAUACGGAGGGUGCGAGCGUUGUCCGGAAUCACUGGGCGUAAAGGGCGCGUAGGCGGUCUGGAUAAGCGCGGGGUGAAAGUCCGGGCUCAACCCCGGAUCGGCCUGGCGGACUGUCCGACUGGAGCACAGUAGAGGCGGGUGGAAUUCCGGGUGUAGCGGUGGAAUGCGUAGAGAUCCGGAAGAACACCGGUGGCGAAGGCGGCCCGCUGGGCUGUGGCUGACGCUGAGGCGCGACAGCGUGGGGAGCAAACAGGAUUAGAUACCCUGGUAGU